Oryza barthii is the source of this 201-nucleotide non-coding RNA. The record is from Rfam. Lineage: Eukaryota; Viridiplantae; Streptophyta; Magnoliopsida; Poales; Poaceae.
UUUAAGCACACUCAUGAGUUUCCGUGUCCAAUUUUGAUCCUCCGUCUUAUUUGAAAAUUUGUUAUGAGUAAUAUUUUUAUUGUUAUUAGAUAAAAAUAUGAAUAAUACUUUAUGCGUGACUUAUGUUUUUUAUUUUUUUUAAAAAAAUUAAAUAAGAUGGACGAUUAAAGUUGAACACGGAAACUUAUGGCUGCGUUUAAA